GUGAGGAAUAUUGGUCAAUGGGCGAGAGCCUGAACCAGCCAAGUCGCGUGAAGGAAGAAGGAUCUAUGGUUCGUAAACUUCUUUUGCAGGGGAAUAAAGUGCAGGACGUGUCCUGUUUUGUAUGUACCCUGAGAAUAAGGAUCGGCUAACUCCGUGCCAGCAGCCGCGGUAAUACGGAGGAUCCGAGCGUUAUCCGGAUUUAUUGGGUUUAAAGGGUGCGUAGGUGGUUUGAUAAGUCAGCGGUGAAAGUUUGCAGCUUAACUGUAAAAAUGCCGUUGAAACUGUCGGACUUGAGUGUAAAUGAGGUAGGUGGAAUGCGUGGUGUAGCGGUGAAAUGCAUAGAUAUCACGCAGAACUCCGAUUGCGAAGGCAGCUUACUAAGCUACAACUGACACUGAAGCACGAAAGCGUGGGGAUCAAACAGGAUUAGAAACCCUGGUAGUCC
This 445-nucleotide ribosomal RNA is filed under the name uncultured bacterium. Its description in RNAcentral is "partial 16S ribosomal RNA". It matches the Rfam family "Bacterial small subunit ribosomal RNA", at positions 354 to 796 of the family's 1533-position model. The record is from RNAcentral.